Gallus gallus (chicken) is the source of this 864-nucleotide long non-coding RNA. Lineage: Eukaryota; Metazoa; Chordata; Aves; Galliformes; Phasianidae. The record is from Ensembl.
ACUGUGGAAGAUUCUUUUUCUGGUGAUCUCUUCUUGGUGAAGAAUUCCCUUAUGAGCUGAGAAUCUUCUGAUAUGGAUUUUGCAAUUAUAAGGCCUAAUUCUACAGCCUUGAUGUGUGCACAACUUAUGUAAGGCCCUGGGAGCUUUCCGUCUCAAGAGCUGAAGCUAAUGCCAAAUUCUGGUAAAGAAGCUGAUUCAUAGCGUCUGGAGCAACUUUGGCUUGCAAUUUCAUAAUCACAGUUGUCUACCUAGAUAAGCAGAGAGAAUAAUAUGACUUCAAACUCUCUGGACUCCCCACUUUGCAAGGAUCUCGAAGUACUCGAUAGCUGGUGGAGAAGAAGGAUGUAACAUGAGAAAGCAAUGCACAAAAAUAUGAAAGCCCAAGUCUGUGCACCACCCACUUACUGAAAAAUAAGGAUAAGCUGUGCUCAUCUUCCCCCCCACCAAAACAGGGAAGCCAUCCCUUGGCACACCUUCUGCAGGGGCUGCAUUGAGCUUUGGGCUGUUGACAGGGUCAGCUGUCCAUUGUGCAGCCAGCGCAUCAGCAUGCUUGUGAGCCUUAUGUGGCACUCCCCAGGUCAUGUCUUAACUCACCACUCCUGGGGAAGGAUCCAGCAGGCUACGGAGUGACAGGAAAGAAGAUCCCCAACCAAGUCCCAGAGUGUCUUGUGCCAACACAAACAGCGCAGUCCCUCCAGGCCCCCCCUGCCAGCUUGUCUGUAGCCUCUGCUGGGAGUGGGAGCACAACGGACGCAGGCAGUUCCAACUGCUGUGGGAUACCAAGGACACUGGAUGGCUGACAUGAGUCCAAGAAGAGCAGUGGAGCUCCAGAGACCACAUGCAUUGCCAUGCUGGACUCCACUU